RNAcentral lists this ribosomal RNA (330 nucleotides) under Triticum aestivum (bread wheat). RNAcentral describes it as "partial small subunit ribosomal RNA". The record is from RNAcentral. Lineage: Eukaryota; Viridiplantae; Streptophyta; Magnoliopsida; Poales; Poaceae.
AUGAUUAUCCGGGCGUUACAAGCAUACAUGAUUAUUCGUCAAGAUACGAGCUCACAUUCAACAAACAACAAUCAAUCAACAAACAACAAUCAAUCGUGCCACAACAGUGUAAAACAGAAGUUAUACAACCAAUCAUUCAACAAAGCAUACAAGCCACACCAUCAAGCAAAUGCAAUAUUCACAGAGUCACACACACAGUCAAGCCAGACAUAUUCACCAUCAAGCCACAGUCACACACACAGAGAAUGGAGCACUUGCACACAAGAAACAGACAUAGAUAGGGGCACAACAGAGAAAGCUAUACAGAAAUUCCAGAACUUGAAUGAGUAA